Long non-coding RNA from Acanthaster planci (crown-of-thorns starfish), 816 nucleotides. RefSeq lists it as uncharacterized. Lineage: Eukaryota; Metazoa; Echinodermata; Asteroidea; Valvatida; Acanthasteridae. The record is from RefSeq and is a predicted model, not a curated record.
AUGCGAACGACAAGAAUGGAGGCAACACCAUGUCGGCCUAGUUAGGAAUCGUCAAAAUCUGAAGAUAACAUUGUUUUAUAGUAGGCAUGAUAGGUUGUGCCAGCAUCACUUACACCAUCCCCUAACUUGGUCGCUCACAUGGACUUGAACAAUGUGCGAAGGGAUGCCACAAUGUUGAGGACACAACAGCUACUGACAGCAGACUGCAAGGAGUACACUGAUCUUUUCAGCACUUGCAACACCCAUAAGGAGCAUAAAACUUUAGCAGGCCACAUACUUCAACAGUAUAUGCAGGAUGUUCUGUGCUUGAUCCCAGCCUUGCACACUGUGGAUUUUUUCUUCAGCGAAGCAAUAUUUAGUGUUAAUAAAGUUAUGUUACAGGAAAGAAAUCACAAGCUUACUUUAUAUUGCAAUUUCCUCAUUCAUUUCAUCUUACCUCCUUGAAAACUGAAGUAGUUGAUUUUAAAGAAUGAAGAUUUUAGGAGGCGUUCUUUAACCACCAAUAUUAAUGCCAGAGUCCACAGGUCAAGUAUCAUGAUGAUUAGUGCACAUUACACAUUUCAUCUGUGUCACAUAAUGUUGUACAUGAGUACCUGCAGAAUCUUUAAGAACUCUGCUCUAUUCCAUAUCUUUGGGGAUAACACUGCCCUCAGUUAUGCCACCUACAUAAAAGCCUGUCGUGAAUAUGGACAAAUUCAACUAAUAAAGAAAGGCGUCUUACAGGAUGUUUUAAUGAACUCUCAAUUUUAUUUGACAAAAUUGAUAGAGACAACUUUGAAACUAUUAUAUAAUAAAUGAGGUGCUUGAAAAAAAAUA